GCUUCGAUAGCUCCAAUGGUAGAGCGGCUGACUUGUAAUCAGCAUGUUGUGAGUUCGAAUCUCACUCGAAGCUCCA
RNAcentral lists this transfer RNA (76 nucleotides) under Caudoviricetes sp. Its description in RNAcentral is "tRNA-Thr". It matches the Rfam family "tRNA". Rfam says of the family: Transfer RNA (tRNA) molecules are approximately 80 nucleotides in length. Lineage: Duplodnaviria; Heunggongvirae; Uroviricota; Caudoviricetes. The record is from RNAcentral.